GAGGGUAUAGUUCAGUGGUUGAGAACAUGUUUAGCAUGCAUGAGAUCCUGGGUUCAAUCCCCAGGUCCUCC
This 71-nucleotide transfer RNA is filed under the name Camelus ferus (Wild Bactrian camel). It matches the Rfam family "tRNA". Rfam says of the family: Transfer RNA (tRNA) molecules are approximately 80 nucleotides in length. Lineage: Eukaryota; Metazoa; Chordata; Mammalia; Artiodactyla; Camelidae. The record is from Rfam by way of RNAcentral.